AUACACUGCUGUAUUGCCACAGCUUUGAGUUUUGACAGUAAGGAGAAGGUAGGUACUUAAUAAGUAUUUAUUGAGUUAAUGAAUUUUGGUGCUCUCGGUUCUGAUUUUAAAACGUUUUCUGUUUCAUUGACUCUCCUGUUAAGAAAACAAAACCUUUCCCAAACUUAGCUAUUUAAUAUAGAAACUAUAAUUCUAAAGAAUAAAGAGAAGAAAGAGAGAACAGACAGACACAGACGUUAACUGGUGCACGACUUAUGGUCCCUAUAUUUAAAUGGGCAUGAACUGUGGUGAGCUAGUUUUUCUGGAUUUCCCUUUCUGCCUUAUUUAUUGUGGAAAUUUGUACACAAAGGUGUACAAAGAUAACGUACUAUAUAUUCAUGUAUUUUUUGAACUUCAAAAAUUAUCCACAUUUUGCCAAUCUUAUCCAUGUCUGAUCUUUCUUUUUCCUGUAGUACAUUUAAGCAAAUCCUAAAUAUGGUGUUAUAUUACCUCAAAAUACUCCAGUAUACAUUUCCGAGGAUUUUUUUAACCAAAUUGUCAUGACAUGUAACAUAAGGAGUAAUCAUUUCAAGAAUUAAUAUCCUAUACAGCCAGCCCAUAUUACAAUGUUUCAAGGAUGUACUUGUUAGCUCCAGAGACUUGAUUAGACUCUGCCAAAUCAGUUUUUGAUGGGCUAUGGAUUUAAAAUCUCUAAUCUUGUUUACUGGUUUAUGAAAGAUAAUUUGAAAUUGCUCUCUUGAGCAUCCUGACCCUUUGAUUCAAGCAAAUAUUGUGGGACUGAGGGGAAGCUAUGAAGUUCUUUGCCAAAUGUUACCAUGUUAAAUCUCUUCAUUUUGAGGAGAAAAGAUUAGAAGAUGGCUUUGUGAUAUGAUCUGUGUGGCAGUUUCUGAUGUUGAAGUGAAUAUACUAGAACAAUUUUCUCAUAGAAUGGGAUAUAGUAAGAGCACUGUUCUGAAGUCAGACAGCCCUCGCUCCAAAUUCCUGCUUGACCACUUCCAAGCCAUACAACUUGG
Molecule: long non-coding RNA, 1013 nt
Filed under: Homo sapiens (human)
Lineage: Eukaryota; Metazoa; Chordata; Mammalia; Primates; Hominidae
Description: HSALNT0342697
Source: RNAcentral